Acyrthosiphon pisum (pea aphid) is the source of this 891-nucleotide long non-coding RNA. RefSeq lists it as uncharacterized. The record is from RefSeq and is a predicted model, not a curated record. The transcript is spliced from 2 exons. NCBI's taxonomy places the organism in Eukaryota, Metazoa, Arthropoda, Insecta, Hemiptera, Aphididae.
UAAAAAAUAUUUUCAAAAAAAUUUACCCUUUUUGAAACAUUGAGUGUUGUUUGAUAAAAGAAUCACCCAUACAUUUGAGGUAUCACUUUUAACGAAGAGAAAAAGUAAAUUUCCUAAUUAGAAGGGGCUUAAAAGUUUUUUGAGACAAAGAGUAAAAAGAAACAGAGGUAAAUGGGGCACCAAAAUCUUAAAUACACCUCUGGAGAUUAUAAUAAAUUUGUUUUUCGAAUACUAUAAUUUACAACUACGUGUCUCCGUACACAUUUAACAGGUUCAUUAGGUAUUAUAGUACACUGGCCUAGCACCUAGGUAUAGGUACUCAAUAGGAAAUAGGGAGGUACACUCAAAAUCUUUCAUAUAUGCAAAGUGAGUUCCAUGUUUUUUUUUCAAUUUAGUUUCUUAAGCUAUAUAUGAAUUAUGAUACUUAUAAUAUUAUAUUCUACGUUAUUCGAUUAUGUUUUCCUAUUUUGAGAAUAUAUGAUUACAGUAAUAAAAUUAUCAACAUAAUAUUAUAUUGUUUUUUUUUUUAGCCCACAGACGGAAAAAAUGUGAAGAGUUGGCUAAUUUAUCAUGUAGUUUACUUAGUACUUUGGUUUAUAAGCUUAAGUGGAAUAUUAAAAGAAAAUCAUUCUGAAAUAGGUGCUCACUUAUUUUCCAUGGCAAUUCAUGGUAUAGUUCUAAUGAUAGAGAUCAACAUUGUCCACAAGUUCAACAUAGAGUCCAAGAUUGUAGCUUAUCAUCGUAAUAGAAGUUUUGAGAUUUCAGAUGAUAUCUAAGCUAUCAGAGAAUUGAGCACCUCAAUCGACAUUUCAUCAUAUAUUAUGUUAAUUAUUUUUGGACUUUUUAUUUUUAAAAUAUACUAAAACAAAAUACAUUAUUGUAAAAUAAGGA